UCAAACUCCUUCCUGACUCAAAAUAACUCUGUGUCUCAGCAUAGGCUCAGAGCUGAUUGGACAAGAAAACUUUUUAUGGAAAAGAGCCUGGAAAUGCUCUUGUAAAAUAAGUUGACCAGGAGCCAGCAAUGUACUCUGGCAGCAAAAAGACUAACUGGGCUGUCUCAGCAAUAGUAUAGCCACCAGGUCAGGGAAAUUAUUAUUCUGCUUUAUUUGACCCUUGUGAGAUUACCUGGAAUGAUGCAUCCAGCUUUGGACUCCCAGGUACCGGGAAAAUGUCAGUGAAUGGGAGAGACUCCAGCCAAGGGAUACCAAGGUGCUCAGGGGUCUGGAGCAUAAAAUGUGUGAAGAAAGGCUGACAGAGCUGAACUUGUCCAGCCUGAGGAAGAGAAAGCUGGAGCAGGGAGCUCAUAUUAUUCUACAGCAACUUAGAGGUGCUGUACAGAUGAUACAGUUGGACACUUGUCAUACAUGAACAGCAAAGGCACAAGAGGCAAAAAAAACCUGUGGCUGCAAAAAAGGAAAAUUCCUACUGGAUACAGACAUUCUUCUCAGUGAGAGAUUAAGCACUGGGACAGCUUAUUUCAAAAGCUUGCAGAAUUUUUGUCUUUGAAGAUGUUCAAAACUCACCUAGCAGUAAAGAAAUACAACACAGGAAGCCAGCCUUAUCUAUCACACAUCAUCAGGCCCACAGUUCACCUUCGCUCCAGGACUAGCAAGGAAAAAAGGACUGAAUGAAAAGCGUUCAAAGGAGCACAAAAGGAAGAAUCCACUAUCCCACUCUCCUGUCUGGAAUCAACAGAAUAUGAAUCUUCCACCUGUAACCAAAAAAAAAAAAAUGCUUAACCCAUAGCUACACAAACAUUAUACAAACAUUAUUCAUGGAAUAAAAACAUAUAUUCUAUAUAUUCUUGGAAAUAUAGUAUUCCAGACUAUACUACAGAGGGGUGACCAGCACCAGAGGUGGUGCUUAUUGCAAGAUAAUAUUGUAACAAAUCGAAAUGGGAAAAGGUCAUGUAACAAAGAAUGGAGCUCCA
Molecule: long non-coding RNA, 1037 nt
Organism: Zonotrichia leucophrys gambelii
Lineage: Eukaryota; Metazoa; Chordata; Aves; Passeriformes; Passerellidae
Exons: 3
Source: RefSeq, a predicted model, not a curated record